Molecule: non-coding RNA, 90 nt
Organism: Whalleya microplaca
Lineage: Eukaryota; Fungi; Ascomycota; Sordariomycetes; Xylariales; Xylariaceae
Source: the annotation of a GenBank genome assembly
GCUGCCAUAAGGUAGAAGUUAACCUACUCUCCUCCCAUUUGCAAAAAAAGGGUCCAGGGAGAAACCCGGGUGCAAGUCCCGGUGGUAGCA